RNAcentral lists this unclassified non-coding RNA (1646 nucleotides) under Hevea brasiliensis (rubber tree). Lineage: Eukaryota; Viridiplantae; Streptophyta; Magnoliopsida; Malpighiales; Euphorbiaceae. The record is from RNAcentral.
GAGUUCUUCAUCUUCUGCCUUGUAUUUGAUUUUGUGGAGUCUCUUUUGUGAAAUGGUAAACAUGAAUUAGACGAUCGUGGGGACCAAGGUUUUUCUCCUCUUCUGGUAUUUCCUCUGCCCGCAAUGUCCAAUAUUGGUCAUUUAUAUUCUCAAUCUUUUCACUGAGCGGAAAGAUCUUAUAAAUCUUGUGAUAGAAGACCUCGAGUAAUCUGAGCUCUGCAUUUGGAUGGGACAACUCUACCUUUGAUUUGAUUUCCUCAAGUACAUCCCCCACUGUACUCUGCUUAGGCAAUCUUACAUUCAGAAUUUCAAUCUCAUCCUUCGUAGAAUGAUGGAAGGCAACUUUGAGCGUCUUCAGACAUUGUAAUUCUGGCAGAGGUAUGUCCAGAACUUCAUAAUACAGAAUAUCGGAGAUCUGAUUGUAAUGGAUAAGCAUGUCUACCAAAUGAUCCACAGACCGAUAUUUGAUGGGGUUGGGCUUGGGUUGCUGUGAGUAGCAGUUGUGAGGAGUAAGCCUAAUUUUGGAGGAAUCAUCCACACCAAGCCUCUGAGCCACUCUAUCCACUACUUCAUCAUAUGUAUCACUUUUUGCUAACUCCAGACAAAAAUCAUCCUCCUUCGGUUUUUCCAGUGCUCUGAAGUGGACAAGCUGGCGAUUUUUGACAUACUCCAUAUAUGAAGGAACAUCUGGAAAUCGGACUUGUUCUUCAACUUCAGGAGAAGUUUUCUUCUGAAAGCAUAUAAUAUCCCCAUCUUCAAUCUGGCUAAAUCGAAAUGAAGCCUUUCUGUCUAGUCUUUCACACAUGACAGAAGGUUCAAACUUUAUUUCCUCAAAAAGUUCAAUUUCUUGGUCAGGAGCAAAUCCAGCCAAUUCAUUAAGUUUUGGAAGUAUCUCAACUGGCUUACUAGUACUCUUCACGAAAAGCCUACCAACAUAACGGAGCUCUUCUUUCUCAGGAUCAUAAAGCUUAAAGAAAAGGAGUAUAUCAUCCUUGCUUUUGUCAGGUGGAGGACCAGGAAUGAAAUCCAGGCCAUAGUCCACUUCCAAAAAUAAUUUUAACUCAGCGUUGUUGUUCUUGUUAGAAACUUCCCUUAACUGACAAACUGUUUGUAGUUCCUCAUGCGGAGUUAAUGGGCGAUUGGGCCGGUAAGUGUGAUUUUGCCGCUUUGCCCAAAUCCAGAAACGCUGGAAUUGAACUGGUAUACCCAAUUCUUUUGCAACCUCCUCCUUGAAAAGGUUAAAUGGCAGCUGUUUCUGGAUUCGAAAGCUACGAACUUUGUCAUGAUCAACAAGAUCAAAAUAUAUCUCCUUACCAAUCUGUUCUCUAAGAUCCUCAUCCCGUGCAACCUUGAUGAUUGUAUACAGGUGGGCCUGUGCUUUGUAUCGUCUCUUGUCCUCCUUUUCUUCUUGUUCUUUCUUCAACCUUAUCCUUAAGUGUUCCGCGAUGUCCUUCUCACCAACAUCACAGAUUAUUUUAUCCUUGUCACUCUCACGUAUAUAAACAAGCAUGUAAGCAUUGGAAUAUUUAGUAAACUUGAAGGGAGUGUUAUUGAAGCCGGGAUUUGUCUGUGGCAACUCCUCUUCUCCACCAUAUUGUUCCUCUAGAGCCCUCUUAUUGUCUUCUUUUGUCACCCGUUCAUCAUCA